CUCGGUGACUUGAGCGAGGAAAUCACACCCGAUCCCAUCCCGAACUCGGCCGUUAAGAUCCUCAGCGCUGAUGGUACUGUGUCUCAAGACCCGGGAGAGUAGGUCGUUGCCGGGC
Molecule: ribosomal RNA, 115 nt
Filed under: Rhizobiales bacterium GAS191
Lineage: Bacteria; Pseudomonadati; Pseudomonadota; Alphaproteobacteria; Hyphomicrobiales
Also listed under: 2 other names
Source: RNAcentral